AGCAGCCGCGGUAAUUCCAGCUCCAAUAGCGUAUAUUAAAGUUGUUGCAGUUAAAAAGCUCGUAGUUGAAUUUCGGGAUCAUCAGGUUGGUCGUGCCUCUGGUAUGUACUGAUUUCGAUGGUUCCUCCUUCUUGAAGAACCGUAAUGCCAUUAAUUUGGUGUUGCGGGGAAACAGGACUGUUACUUUGAAAAAAUUAGAGUGUUUAAAGCAGGCAAUCGCUUGAAUACAUUAGCAUGGAAUAAUGAAAUAGGACGUUCGAUCCUAUUUUGUUGGUUUCUAGGAUUGACGUAAUGAUUAAUAGGGAUAGUUGGGGGCAUUAGUAUUCAAUUGUCAGAGGUGAAAUUCUUGGAUUUAUUGAAGACUAACUACUGCGAAAGCAUUUGCCAAGGAUGUUUUCAUUAAUCAAGAACGAAAGUUAGGGGAUCGAAGACGAUCAGAUACCGUCGUAGUCUUAACCAUAAACUAUGCCGACUAGGGAUCGGAUGAUGUUAAUUUUUAAUGACUCAUUCGGCGUCCG
RNAcentral lists this ribosomal RNA (518 nucleotides) under uncultured Glomus. RNAcentral's name for it is "SSU rRNA". It matches the Rfam family "Eukaryotic small subunit ribosomal RNA", at positions 569 to 1089 of the family's 1831-position model. The record is from RNAcentral. Lineage: Eukaryota; Fungi; Glomeromycota; Glomeromycetes; Glomerales; Glomeraceae.